Molecule: ribosomal RNA, 497 nt
Filed under: uncultured bacterium
Lineage: Bacteria
Description: bacterial SSU rRNA
Rfam family: Bacterial small subunit ribosomal RNA
Source: RNAcentral
GAGUUUGAUCCUGGCUCAGGAUGAACGCUGGCGGCGUGCUUAACACAUGCAAGUCGAGCGAAGCAUUAAAACAGAUUUCUUCGGAUUGAAGUUCUAAUGACUGAGCGGCGGACGGGUGAGUAACGCGUGGGUGACCUGCCUCAUACAGGGGGAUAACAGACAGAAAUGUCUGCUAAUACCGCAUAAGCGCACGGUGCUGCAUGGCACCGUGUGAAAAACUCCGGUGGUAUGAGAUGGACCCGCGUCUGAUUAGCUAGUUGGUAAGGUAACGGCUUACCAAGGCGACGAUCAGUAGCCGGCCUGAGAGGGUGAACGGCCACAUUGGGACUGAGACACGGCCCAAACUCCUACGGGAGGCAGCAGUGGGGAAUAUUGCACAAUGGGGGAAACCCUGAUGCAGCGACGCCGCGUGAAGGAAGAAGUAUUUCGGUAUGUAAACUUCUAUCAGCAGGGAAGAAAAUGACGGUACCUGACUAAGAAGCCCCGGCUAACUACGU